GCAGAAAUAUUUCAUAUAUUUAAUCAACUCGGUUGCAUUACAUGGAACAAGAUAUGAAGAAGACAUUACAUGAUCUCCUAUAUAACCAUGAAAAUGACAUUCUAUAAUGUAAAUGUAAAACUAUCUUGUAGUAGCCCCGCCCUCCAUCUUUGUAUCAACAACUUACCCAUACAGCAUCUUCGUCUUCGUCGCCUUUCAUGCUGGAUGACAAGCUUCUCUAUGAACUUCCUGCAGACCCAUCCUAUGACAUUGUUAUAGGAUGAAUCACCACCACCCUGCCCAUCAUUCAGUACAGGAACUGACUGGCAAAGCGCCACUACAACAGAUUAAAUAAACAUAAUGAAAAUCCGGCAUGAGGAGAUGGAAGCCACAUGUAACACUUAAAUAUUCUGGGAUUGAUAAUUUAUCGAAGGAAGGCUCACAUCAGUUCAGUGUAUCAUAAAUUAUCAUGACAAAUCCUUGUCGUUCCUUAUCCUAGCAGAAGCUCGAUUUAACUGUAACAAGAAUGUAUAACUGUGAACUAGGCAUGCCACUCUGUUAGGCACUUUUAAUUUUGUCACCUCAAUCUUUUUCUUUUAUUUUGCCAUAUGCCGUAAGCCAAACAUACACUUGGACCAUAUAUCUAACACAUAGGCAUGCAUGUCAUAAUGAACAUGGUUCUCUCUUAGUACAAAAAGAGAAGUCUCAUCCUAAGAUCAAAUAUUAGUCAUGUUAAGGCAUCUAGAUUAUAGUAUAAAAAAAUUGUAUAUUGUGUACUGCGAUUGGGUAAUUGCAACUUUAAGAUAGCCACACACUGUUUUUUUGUCCAGCCAACUAAAUAAAGAAGAGUACCUUGAACUAACCUUACAAAAAGAAACCUUGAACUAAGAUAAUGGAAACUGGUUGUGUCAUAUAACUUACAUUCAGGUGUGCAUUUUGUUCCACAAAGCUUCUGCAGACCAACAGAAAUCCCUUUGGCAACAUCCUAUAUGGGUAGUUGGGAAUAUAGUUCGUGGAGAUAAUUUUAACAAACCUGGUUUCAGUGUAUUUUGUCGCCAGUUCCUCAAGGCAAGUCUAAAGCAACC
RNAcentral lists this long non-coding RNA (1064 nucleotides) under Triticum aestivum (bread wheat). Its description in RNAcentral is "long non-coding RNA (TAES_LNC004772)". Lineage: Eukaryota; Viridiplantae; Streptophyta; Magnoliopsida; Poales; Poaceae. The record is from RNAcentral.